AUUGAACGCUGGCGGCAUGCCUUACACAUGCAAGUCGAACGGUAACGCGGGGCAACCUGGCGACGAGUGGCGAACGGGUGAGUAAUGCAUCGGAACGUGCCUGGUAGUGGGGGAUAACUGCUAGAAAGAGCAGCUAAUACCGCAUACGACCAGAGGGUGAAAGGGGGGGAUCGCCAGACCUCUCGCUAUCAGUGCGGCCGAUGUCGGAUUAGCUAGUUGGUGGGGUAAAGGCCCACCAAGGCAACGAUCCGUAGCUGGUCUGAGAGGACGACCAGCCACACUGGGACUGAGACACGGCCCAGACUCCUACGGGAGGCAGCAGUGGGGAAUUUUGGACAAUGGACGCAAGUCUGAUCCAGCAAUGCCGCGUGCGGGAAGAAGGCCUUCGGGUUGUAAACCGCUUUUGUUAGGGAAGAAAUUCUCCGGGCUAAUACCCAGGGGGGAUGACGGUACCUAAAGAAUAAGCACCGGCUAACUACGUGCCAGCCGCCGCGGUAA
This 498-nucleotide ribosomal RNA is filed under the name uncultured bacterium. RNAcentral's name for it is "partial 16S ribosomal RNA". It matches the Rfam family "Bacterial small subunit ribosomal RNA", at positions 29 to 523 of the family's 1533-position model. The record is from RNAcentral.